RNAcentral lists this ribosomal RNA (253 nucleotides) under uncultured bacterium. RNAcentral describes it as "partial 16S ribosomal RNA". It matches the Rfam family "Bacterial small subunit ribosomal RNA", at positions 524 to 776 of the family's 1533-position model. The record is from RNAcentral.
GACGAACCGUCCUAACGUUGUUCGGAAUCACUGGGCUUAAAGGGCGCGUAGGCGGCUUGCCAAGUCAGGGGUGAAAUCCUGCAGCUUAACUGUAGAAGGGCCUUUGAUACUGGCAAGCUCGAGGGAGGUAGGGGUAUGUGGAACUUCCGGUGGAGCGGUGAAAUGCGUUGAUAUCGGAAGGAACGCCGGUGGCGAAAGCGACGUACUGGACCUCUUCUGACGCUGAGGCGCGAAAGCUAGGGGAGCAAACGGG